UUGCUAAAGUUUCACAAAUUUUUUGUUUUCAUAAACAUCAACAACCAAAAAGUUCUACAGAAGUAAUUGGGUCACGUCAAAAGUUUUGUAAUCUUGUAACUGAUGAAUGUUUUUGUUGUUUCAGGUACGUCACUGUUUGUCGACCGAAAAUGGAUGAAUGAAAUUAGUAAGCGACCAGAAAAUUCGUAUGAAUGGUGGGAACAUCCUUGGUAAAUCAUAUGAGGAAACUGAAGACUGAACUGACAUGCAAUCCCGUAUUAACAAAAUUCGUAAGAAUCAAACUCUCAACAAAUAUAAUACUAGAACUGUUUUUUAAACGAAAGUUUACUUAAUAUUAUAAGUAAGCCUAAGAUUACUUCUAAGAAUUGAAUUUCACCACCGAUCAGCAAAACCUAACUCGGUGUCUUUCGAAAGAUAAACUCAACAUAAUAUUGGUGUUGCGGUGCUAUAAAAAAAUUGGUAUUGAAAUAUGAAAAUCCCUUAAUUGGCAAACACGUUUGGUGACUUAAAUUUAAUCAAUACGAGUUUUAACUAUUUACCAAUUUAGUUGAUGUACAAAAAAUUAUAAAGUCAGACAUUAUUGAACCAAGAACCGUUGCCUCCCCGGUUAGAAGGCGAUACAUACCCUUAUGUACGCCAUGUAAAUCCAACUCUCCCAACCCUUUAGUCAUUCCAGACGCAGGAAAACCCUCAACUCAUCGCGUAACGUGGUCUCUUACGUUACGAGUAAGUUAACGAGGGAAACUCUUAGCGCCCCAGCCCUUAAGGUACGGUGAAUUAAAACAAAAGAUCACGCUCGAAGCGACGCCGCGCAUUCCAUUCAUUAAACUUGAAUUCUACACACAUCCUAGGGGAGCAUUGCUGCCUGGCGUUCAUAUAAACGAGGCAGAUACUUAAACAAAUCAUUUAAAAAGCAUUGACGGUCGGUGAUGCAAAUUUUUAUGAGCGGCGGUAAUCACUUGACUUCAAGUGACCAUGCUACGUUGCUUGUGUGUGUUUUCUUUAUACAAACGUAGGUACAUAUUAUAUCAAACAAACAUAGCACUUUCUUGGUUAUCUAUAGUAUUUUUAAAUAUACAACAUUACGUUAUGUACUUGUACUUAUUAUGUCGUAGGAUAAUUAGACAAUUAUGAUGGUUAAUAAAUGUUGGAAAAUUCGCAAAUAC
This is a long non-coding RNA of Bicyclus anynana (squinting bush brown), 1166 nucleotides long. RefSeq lists it as uncharacterized. Lineage: Eukaryota; Metazoa; Arthropoda; Insecta; Lepidoptera; Nymphalidae. The transcript is spliced from 3 exons. The record is from RefSeq and is a predicted model, not a curated record.